Girardinichthys multiradiatus is the source of this 2082-nucleotide RNA transcript. It is a transcript of the gene named F-box protein 25, with no coding region annotated. The record is from RefSeq and is a predicted model, not a curated record. The transcript is spliced from 10 exons. Lineage: Eukaryota; Metazoa; Chordata; Actinopteri; Cyprinodontiformes; Goodeidae.
UACGAACACACUGUCCAAUAAGAAAGUAGCAGGUGGGCGUGAACGAAUUCUUGGUUUCUGCUCUGUAUUUACUUCCGUCAAUAUUUCCAGCACAGCAGGAAGGAGAGCUGCGAGAAACAAACUGACCAGCCACAAAGGAACUCCUUGGAUCUUAAGGUGUUCGCCGUGGCUGCAGCUCUUCUCUGCUCAUAGUCCUCCGUUCCCCAGUUAGUAUGCCUUUCUUAGGCAAAGACUGGAGGUCACCUGGAUGGAGCUGGACGAAGACGGACCAUGGCUGGAAGAGGAUUGUUUUCUUUGGACACGAGCUGGAGAACAACAAAGAGAUAGACCUGGAAGAGCUCUGCAGUGACAACAAUGAAAAUCUGUUUUUCGGAGAAGUGUGUGAGCUCGCCAACACCAAGAGGAAGAAGGAGUUGUACAACAAUAAUACUAAAUCCCAGUUUGUUUUCAGAGAUAAAUGGAUCUACGUGCAGAAAGGAAGCACGAAGGAACGACACGGUUACUGCACAAUCGGGGAAGCUCUCAACCGACUAGACUUUUCCAGUGCGAUCCAAGACUUGCGAAGAUUUAACUAUGUUGCAAAGCUUUUCCAGCUGAUAGCCAGGUCUCAGCUAACGUCUUUGAGUGGAGCUGCCCAGAAAAACUAUUUCAAUAUACUGGAGAAGAUUGUACGAAAGGUCCUAGAGGACCACUACAAUCCUCGCCUCGUUAAGGAGCUUCUGCAGGACCUGAGCUCCACACUUCACAGUCUGACCAUCCAUGUUGGCAGGUGUGUCCUCGUGGGCAACGUGAACAUCUGGUUGUGCCGCCUGGAGACCAUUGUGAAAUGGCAGCAGGAGCUCAACAAUAUGCAGAUCCCGAAGCAAAUGUACACCGGCUUGUCUUUCAACGACUUGCCGCUGUACAUGCAGAACAAGAUCCUCUGUAAGUUAUCUGACGCCUGUGACAUCAUCAACUUGGGUCAGGCCACGCCGACGUUGCACGUCCUCAGUGAGAACAGGACGCUGUGGAAGAAACUCUGUCAGUUUCACUUCUCAGACAAACCGGUGAGGAAGUUGUUUUAUGCUUCCAAUUCUGCUUGUGGACUUCCACUGCUCAUACGCAGUUCUGCAGGAAUUUGGGUCUAACCAGAGCCGACAAUGUGGACUGGAAGCUGAUGUACUUCACCCUGCAGAAGCACUACCCCAUGAAGGAGCAGUACGGUGACACGUUGCACUUCUGCAAACACUGUAGCAUCCUCUUCUGGAAGGACUUUGGCCACCCGUGCACCGCCAAUGAUCCAGACAGCUGCUUGAUGCCCAUUUCUCCGCAGCACUUUAUCGACCUCUUCAAAUUUUAAACCCGCCAUGUUGUUCUCCGACACGACGUCCAUAACUUUCCAUCCCACUUUGAGUGUGUUUAAAACACCUCAACGUUGUUUACUCAAAUAAAAAAAAAAAGGGCUUAAAACUGUAUGAAAAGGAUUUUCAUUUUUCAACGCACAACUAUUUCCAAACAUAAAAAAGACUAAAUGUUUUUUUUGCUUGUUUGUUUCAAAACUUAAAAAGAUCUUUUAUGUUUCAGCACAUGUCCGUCGUGAAGACAGAAAAAGCUUCUCUCUAUAGAGGGAAUUACAUUUUGUAAAUAUUUGAAAGGAAAAAAUGUAUAUUGAAGGAAUUUAUGUGUAAAAUGUGUUUUAGCCUGUCUUUGGUAGCUGUGUAUUCAGUGAUUGGAUGUAUUAAGAUUUACAGAGAGCUAAAAGGCAAAAUAUGUCUGGGUUUAAUUGCAUCCUGAUCUUUUAUUUCUGGUGGCAUUUUUCUACAGUAACAGUUCCUUCUUCGUGUUUUGACUCCGUUUACAAACCGUCAGUUGUCCUCUGUUAGCUAAUGUAAAUCUCUGUUGAGUGUACAUGUUUUCUACUGCUGUUAGGCGUCUGAAGUGGCAAACAGAAAAAAAUUAAUGUGUUUAAGGGGGAGGGGAUGACUUUUCUCAUUCUCUUCCAACUUUUGUAACAUCCCUUUACCAAUCCAUACUCUUGAAGGUACUUUUAUGAAUUUUACCAUGUGGGAACUAGCUAUGAAUUAAAAGUGUUUGUAAAAACUG